AGGACGAACGCUGGCGGCGUGCCUAACACAUGCAAGUCGAGCGGAGAUACAUUGAAGAUUUAUCGGAUAUGUAUCUUAGCGGCGGACGGGUGAGUAACGCGUGGGUAACCUGCCUUAUACAGGGGGAUAACACAGGGAAACUUGUGCUAAUACCGCAUAAUAUCAUUGUAUGGCAUCAUAUGGUGAUCAAAGGAGCAAUCCGGUAUAAGAUGGACCCGCGUCCAAUUAGCUAGUUGGUGGUGUAACGGACCACCAAGGCGACGAUUGGUAGCCGAACUGAGAGGUUGAUCGGCCACAUUGGGACUGAGACACGGCCCAGACUCCUACGGGAGGCAGCAGUGGGGAAUAUUGCACAAUGGGGGAAACCCUGAUGCAGCAACGCCGCGUGAAGGAUGAAGGUUUUCGGAUCGUAAACUUCUUUGAUGAGGGACGAAUAAUGACGGUACCUCAAGAACAAGCCACGGCUAACUACGUG
This 475-nucleotide ribosomal RNA is filed under the name uncultured bacterium. RNAcentral's name for it is "bacterial SSU rRNA". It matches the Rfam family "Bacterial small subunit ribosomal RNA", at positions 26 to 507 of the family's 1533-position model. The record is from RNAcentral.